RNAcentral lists this long non-coding RNA (229 nucleotides) under Elaeis guineensis (African oil palm). Its description in RNAcentral is "long non-coding RNA (EGUI_LNC061256)". The record is from RNAcentral. Lineage: Eukaryota; Viridiplantae; Streptophyta; Magnoliopsida; Arecales; Arecaceae.
CAUAGCCAGCCACGACGAGCACUAGUUUCUUCCUCUUUUUUUCUUUCAGAUUUUUCCAUUGAAGCCGUCCACGCCAUUCUCGUGUUUGCCUCAAAUUCUCAUCGGAGACCUCACCGGAGCCGGAGGUAAGCCCCGACCCUCCUUCCUCUCUUCUUUUCCCUCCUUUCUAUAGCUUCUUGCAUCCUUGCCGGCCGGUCGGAUCGUCAGAAAAUCCUCAAAACGUCAUGAC